This 305-nucleotide ribosomal RNA is filed under the name uncultured bacterium. RNAcentral describes it as "partial 16S ribosomal RNA". It matches the Rfam family "Bacterial small subunit ribosomal RNA", at positions 508 to 807 of the family's 1533-position model. The record is from RNAcentral.
ACAGCAGUAGCCGCGGUAAUACGGAGGGGGCUAGCGUUGUUCGGAAUUACUGGACGUAAAGCGCACGUAGGCGGCUUGGUAAGUUAGAGGUGAAAGCCUGGAGCUCAACUCCAGAAUUGCCUUUAAGACUGCCGAGCUAGCAGGUGAGAGAGGUAAGUGGAAUUCCGAGUGUAGAGGUGAAAUUCGUAGAUAUUCGGAAGAACACCAGUGGCGAAGGCGGCUUACUGGCUCAUACUGGACGCUGAGGUGCGAAAGCGUGGGGAGCAAACAGGAUUAGAUACCCCUGUAGUCCCUGUCUCUUAUAC